This 85-nucleotide transfer RNA is filed under the name Candidatus Kaiserbacteria bacterium. RNAcentral describes it as "tRNA-Leu". It matches the Rfam family "tRNA". Rfam says of the family: Transfer RNA (tRNA) molecules are approximately 80 nucleotides in length. Their secondary structure includes four short double-helical elements and three loops (D, anti-codon, and T loops). RNAcentral also lists the same sequence under 1 other name. The record is from RNAcentral. Lineage: Bacteria; Candidatus Kaiseribacteriota.
GUCCACGUGGCGAAAUUGGUAGACGCGCUACCUUGAGGUGGUAGUGAGAAUUAUUCUCUUGCUGGUUCAAAUCCAGUCGUGGACA